This 253-nucleotide ribosomal RNA is filed under the name uncultured bacterium. RNAcentral describes it as "partial 16S ribosomal RNA". It matches the Rfam family "Bacterial small subunit ribosomal RNA", at positions 524 to 776 of the family's 1533-position model. The record is from RNAcentral.
UACGUAGGGGGCAAGCGUUGUCCGGAUUUAUUGGGCGUAAAGAGCGUGUAGGCGGCCAGGUAGGUCUGGUGUGAAAACUCGAGGCUCAACCUCGAGAGGUCAUCGGAAACCAUCUGGCUAGAGUCCGGAAGAGGAGAGUGGAAUUCCCGGUGUAGCGGUGAAAUGCGCAGAUAUCGGGAAGAACACCUAUGGCGAAGGCAGCUCGCUGGGACGUGACUGACGCUGAGACGCGAAAGCGUGGGGAGCAAACAGG